AGAGUUUGAUCCUGGCUCAGGAUUAACGCUGGCGGCGUGCCUGACACAUGCAAGUCGAACGAGGCCGCAAGGCCGAGUGGCGGACGGGUGAGUAACACGUGACCAACCAACCUCGAAGUUGGGAAUAGCUCUGCGAAAGUAGGGGUAAUACCGAAUGUGGCCCAAGGCGGGCAUCCGCCUUGGUCUAAAGAUUCAUCGCUUCGAGACGGGGUCGCGGCCUAUUAACUUGUUGGUGGGGUAACGGCUCACCAAGGCGAUGAUGGGUAGCUGGUCUGAGAGGACGACCAGCCACACUGGGACUGAGACACGGCCCAGACUCCUACGGGAGGCAGCAGUGAGGAAUCUUCCGCAAUGGGCGAAAGCCUGACGGAGCAACGCCGCGUGUGGGAUGAAGGCUCUAGGGUUGUAAACCACUGUCGGAGGGGACGAUCGUGACGGUACCCUCCAAGAAAGCCCCGGCUAACUACGUGCCAGCAGCCGCGGUAAUACGUGGGGGGCAAGCGUUAUCCGGAUUUACUGGGCGUAAAGCGCGUUAAGGCGGAUGGCAAAGUUGGGGGUGAAAUUUCGGGGCUUAACCCCGAAACUGCCGCCAAUACUGGUCAUCUAGAGUGUGGGAGAGGAAGGUGGAAUUCCGGGUGUAGUAGUGAAAUGCGUA
This 655-nucleotide ribosomal RNA is filed under the name uncultured bacterium. RNAcentral describes it as "bacterial SSU rRNA". It matches the Rfam family "Bacterial small subunit ribosomal RNA", at positions 8 to 692 of the family's 1533-position model. The record is from RNAcentral.